This 253-nucleotide ribosomal RNA is filed under the name uncultured bacterium. RNAcentral's name for it is "partial 16S ribosomal RNA". It matches the Rfam family "Bacterial small subunit ribosomal RNA", at positions 524 to 776 of the family's 1533-position model. The record is from RNAcentral.
UACGUAGGGUGCAAGCGUUGUCCGGAAUUAUUGGGCGUAAAGAGCUCGUAGGCGGCUUGUCACGUCGACUGUGAAAACCCGGGGCUCAACUCCGGGCCUGCAGUCGAUACGGGCUGGCUUGAGUGCGGUAGGGGAGACUGGAAUUCCUGGUGUAGCGGUGAAAUGCGCAGAUAUCAGGAGGAACACCGGUGGCGAAGGCGGGUCUCUGGGCCGAUACUGACGCUGAGGAGCGAAAGCGUGGGGAGCGAACAGG